Molecule: ribosomal RNA, 245 nt
Filed under: Silene atocioides
Lineage: Eukaryota; Viridiplantae; Streptophyta; Magnoliopsida; Caryophyllales; Caryophyllaceae
Source: RNAcentral
UCGAAACCUGCCCAGCAGAGCGACCCGUGAACAUGUUCAACCUCAUGGGUGUUGGGGCGUUGCUAGGCGCCUCGUGUGCCUUCCUCGUCCCUCACCCAAGCCGGGGGGGCGCUCACUUGUGAGUUGUCUCCUCGGCAAAACAACGAACCCCGGCGCGUAAAGCGUCAAGGAAUAUAAACUCUAUGUGUGCACUCACCCGCUGCCCGGUUAGCCGGGCUUUGGAGUGGUGCCAUGUCUUAACAAUA